UGUUUAUGGCAUGAUGACACAUAUCCGC
Molecule: small RNA, 28 nt
Filed under: Bombyx mori (domestic silkworm)
Lineage: Eukaryota; Metazoa; Arthropoda; Insecta; Lepidoptera; Bombycidae
Description: ovarian small RNA-36232
Source: RNAcentral